This 233-nucleotide long non-coding RNA is filed under the name Lathyrus oleraceus (garden pea). RNAcentral describes it as "Pisum sativum (pea) long non-coding RNA (PSAT_LNC005130)". The record is from RNAcentral. Lineage: Eukaryota; Viridiplantae; Streptophyta; Magnoliopsida; Fabales; Fabaceae.
AAAUAAACAAUGCCAAUAUUUAUCACAAAUCUAACUAAACUAGGCUUGACUCUGAUCGAAAGGUAGUCCCUAGUAGAAUUACCAGGUGCUGCAUCUUGAAAAAUACGAUCAUUCGCAAAGCGUUCGUACGCUCGCGGGAAUGAUUGAAUAGAGUCGCCACUGAACUCUAUUUAUUCCAAAGAAGAAAAGGGAAAAUAUUGAAAAAAAACCUUAAAAGAAAAAGAAGAUGGUUG